RNAcentral lists this ribosomal RNA (491 nucleotides) under Micromonospora sp. RNAcentral's name for it is "bacterial SSU rRNA". It matches the Rfam family "Bacterial small subunit ribosomal RNA", at positions 127 to 633 of the family's 1533-position model. The record is from RNAcentral. Lineage: Bacteria; Bacillati; Actinomycetota; Actinomycetes; Micromonosporales; Micromonosporaceae.
UGCCCUAGGCUUUGGGAUAACCCUCGGAAACGGGGGCUAAUACCGAAUAUGACCUGACAUCGCAUGGUGUUUGGUGGAAAGUUUUUCGGCCUGGGAUGGGCUCGCGGCCUAUCAGCUUGUUGGUGGGGUAAUGGCCUACCAAGGCGACGACGGGUAGCCGGCCUGAGAGGGCGACCGGCCACACUGGGACUGAGACACGGCCCAGACUCCUACGGGAGGCAGCAGUGGGGAAUAUUGCACAAUGGGCGGAAGCCUGAUGCAGCGACGCCGCGUGAGGGAUGACGGCCUUCGGGUUGUAAACCUCUUUCAGCAGGGACGAAGCGUAAGUGACGGUACCUGCAGAAGAAGCACCGGCCAACUACGUGCCAGCAGCCGCGGUAAGACGUAGGGUGCGAGCGUUGUCCGGAUUUAUUGGGCGUAAAGAGCUCGUAGGCGGCUUGUCGCGUCGACUGUGAAAACCCGCAGCUCAACUGCGGGCCUGCAGUCGAUAC